RNAcentral lists this ribosomal RNA (510 nucleotides) under Triticum aestivum (bread wheat). Its description in RNAcentral is "partial small subunit ribosomal RNA". Lineage: Eukaryota; Viridiplantae; Streptophyta; Magnoliopsida; Poales; Poaceae. The record is from RNAcentral.
AUGGGGGGGAGGGCGCCACAAACAAUACUUACCGAUCAAAACAGGGCGAUGGAGGUUGCCAUAAGUAAUGUCAUGCCAAACACGGCUCACCGGUGGUGCAAGUGGCAUGUGCUAAAGAAGGCAAAAGAUUCGCUUGGCCCAUUGUACACAAAGAAGAGUGAUUUUCAACCAGAGUUUCACAAGGUUGUCAACCACAUGCUAACCAUAGAUGAGUUUGAGGAUGGCUGGAAGUACUUAAUAGAGAAAUACAACUUGAAAAGUCAUGACUACAUGACUAAUUUGUUUGAAAUACGGCACAAAUGGGCAAAGCCCUACUUCAAGGGGGUGUUCUAUGCAAAAAUGACUAGUACACAACGGAGUGAAAGCGCAAAUCACAUGCUAAAGAACUACGUGCUGCCUGGUUGCCCUAUGCAUGUUUUUGUGAGGAAGUAUAUGAGUUUAAUUUUUGACCGUGAGUCAGAAGAAAAUUAUGAGGAAAAGCGGACAGCAAUUGUAAGUGCAAAACUAAAU